GAUGAACGCUGGCGGCGUGCCUAAUACAUGCAAGUCGAGCGAACAGACGAGGAGCUUGCUCCUUUGACGUUAGCGGCGGACGGGUGAGUAACACGUGGAUAACCUACCUAUAAGACUGGGAUAACUUCGGGAAACCGGAGCUAAUACCGGAUAACAUGUUGAACCGCAUGGUUCAACAGUGAAAGACGGUCUUGCUGUCACUUAUAGAUGGAUCCGCGCCGCAUUAGCUAGUUGGUAAGGUAACGGCUUACCAAGGCAACGAUGCGUAGCCGACCUGAGAGGGUGAUCGGCCACACUGGAACUGGGACACGGUCCAGACGCCUGCGGGAGGCAGCAGUAGGGAAUCUUCCGCAAUGGGCGAAAGCCUGACGGAGCAACGCCGCGUGAGUGAAGAAGGUCUUCGGAUCGUAAAACUCUGUUAUUAGGGAAGAACAAAUGUGUAAGUAACUAUGCACGGCUUGACGGUACCUAAUCAGAAAGCCACGGCUAACUACGUG
Molecule: ribosomal RNA, 497 nt
Filed under: uncultured bacterium
Lineage: Bacteria
Description: partial 16S ribosomal RNA
Rfam family: Bacterial small subunit ribosomal RNA
Source: RNAcentral